CUUUGGUGUUGCCCAUCUGUAGUGGGCUGGGGUAAAAGUUUUGUGAGACAGGGGAUUGCCUGGCUUGACAUAUCCAUCACUGGCUGGAGCACAGACCUGAAUUUGGUAGCUGAGAUGACAGGGAACUCACUCAAUCAAGGGAGGGAGUCCCUAACCCUCUAUGAGGGCCUACACUUAUGCUGUCAGUAUCAUCAUGCACAAGGGAGUGUACCAUCAAUAUCCAAUAAAAUAUAUCAUAAUAGGCUGAGAGACACUGCAGAAUAAAGAAUGCUGUUUGAUAUUUUAGUUACUUUAAUGACACUUUUUGCCUGCUUUUUGAACAAGGGACCUUCAUUUUCAGUUUGCACUAAGCCUCACAAUUAUGUAGCCAGGAUUCUGACUUUUUUUUUCUGACAUGCCUCAGGGAGUAUCUUUCUUCAUUCACCAAGCUGGACAUACAUUGGGCUCUGUAAAUUAAGAGAAAUCUUAUCUAACUUUGGAGUUCCAAGUUCCAGUGCUACAUUCUCCAUCAGUGCCUUAUGUUAGAGAAUGUGAUGAGCUUUGCCUGUGGAGACAGGAUCCCAGGGAAAUGACAAUAACAAAAGAAAGAAGAAAGAAUAUGAGCUUCCUCCAGACAUCAUCAAAGAUCAUUGCCAAAGUUUUGAUGGGCUUUGAUUAAGGUAUCCUGGGACCUCAGCACAACCAACAAUAAAGAGAGAAGGAAGAAGACCCAGGACCAGGACAGCCUCCAUGUCAGAAAUGAAGAAGGAAUCUGCACGUUCAGACAAAAUAGACCUACUGCCCUCUAGAUACUUCCUUCAGCCUCUCAACUUAAGAUAAACUUUUGUGUCUUCAUUCUUAUCAUUUUUGUACCAAGAAAUACUGGACAUCCUUCAUCUCCAGCAGAUUAUAUUUCCAUCUGGCUCUGUCUGUCCUCUUUUAUGACUAGUCUCUUGAAAGUUUUUCUAAUUCAUCUAUGAACUCAAGGUCAAUCAUCAGUGAAAGCCUAGUCAUUAGAGAAACUUUAAUGUCAACCACUUCUGUAGACAUUCUUUUUGCGUUUUGCUCUAACAGGAAUCUGACUCUCUCCUGUGGACUCCGUUCCUUGAAAUCCAAAACUUAAAGUAUAAUAAUAAUAAAAUUAAAAAAAAAAGAAAGAAAUCAAGUCAAGCAGAAAUUGAGUUGAUUCUUCUAUCCCUUGUAUCUCUCAGCUUGGAGAAGUCCUUUUUACUCCACAUUGUCAUUCACAAACAACUGAUUAAAAGAGGGACAACAUGGUUUCACUGAGCAAACAUAGCCC
RNAcentral lists this long non-coding RNA (1279 nucleotides) under Homo sapiens (human). Its description in RNAcentral is "HSALNT0108734". The record is from RNAcentral. Lineage: Eukaryota; Metazoa; Chordata; Mammalia; Primates; Hominidae.